AGGGGGCAAGCGUUAUUCGGAAUUAUUGGGCGUAAAGGGCGCGUAGGCGGCUAGAUGUGUCAAAGGUGAAAUCCCUCGGCUCAACUGAGGAACUGCCUUUGAAACUGUCUGGCUUGAGGCCGGGAGAGGGUAGCGGAAUUCCCAGUGUAGCGGUGAAAUGCGUAGAUAUUGGGAGGAACACCAGUGGCGAAGGCGGCUACCUGGACCGGUUCUGACGCUGAGGCGCGAAAGCGUGGGUAGCAAACAGG
Molecule: ribosomal RNA, 248 nt
Filed under: uncultured bacterium
Lineage: Bacteria
Description: partial 16S ribosomal RNA
Rfam family: Bacterial small subunit ribosomal RNA
Source: RNAcentral